GUUCCUGGCUCAGGAUGAACGCUAGCUACAGGCUUAACACAUGCAAGUCGAGGGGCAGCAUGAACUUAGCUUGCUAAGUUUGAUGGCGACCGGCGCACGGGUGAGUAACACGUAUCCAACCUUCCGUUUACUCAGGGAUAGCCUUUCGAAAGAAAGAUUAAUACCUGAUAGUAUGGUGAGAUUGCAUGAUAACACCAUUAAAGAUUUAUUGGUAAACGAUGGGGACGCGUUCCAUUAGGUAGUAGGCGGGG
Molecule: ribosomal RNA, 251 nt
Filed under: uncultured bacterium
Lineage: Bacteria
Description: partial 16S ribosomal RNA
Rfam family: Bacterial small subunit ribosomal RNA
Source: RNAcentral